Long non-coding RNA from Manis pentadactyla (Chinese pangolin), 2045 nucleotides. RefSeq lists it as uncharacterized. NCBI's taxonomy places the organism in Eukaryota, Metazoa, Chordata, Mammalia, Pholidota, Manidae. The transcript is spliced from 3 exons. The record is from RefSeq and is a predicted model, not a curated record.
AAUAUCAGAAUAUAUUGCAUGUUAUAAGCACUAUUUUGUAAAACAUUUGUUGGUGUUACGCCUAUGUGUCUGUAUGUCCUAGACUGUGAUAUAGAAUGUAUUUCCUACUGUGGGUCAUGGUCAAAGGGCUUAAAAGUUAUUGCUGUAUUGAAGAGUUACACCUGACACUGUUCUAAGCAGCCUACAUUAAUUUAUUUAAUCCUACAACCCUAUGAGAUUGGUACUCUUACAUAUGGGGAAACUGAGGCACAGAGAAGUUAAGUAGCUUGGCCAAGGUCACCCAGAAAAUAGGAGUUGGAAGCUUAAAGGUGAUACACUGCCUCUGGCAAGGAUCUGAUUUGACUCUAGUUUGCUCUCUUCGCUGCUAAACCCCAGGGACUAGCCAGCUAAUCCCGGCCACCAGAGGGCGAUGUGGGACUCAAAUCCGGGGCAAGCACAGCUGGCGGCAGGGUGAGCAGCAGUGGAGGUUCUCCACAGCAGCUGUAAGCAGAGGUGCCCGGAUGCUGGCAGUGCGGUUUUCGCAGCCUCCUCACAGAGGGCCAGCAGGCUGGGCACAGCCCGGGGACACCCGCGCCCUCAGGUUUGCAGGGCCUAUCAUAGGGGACAGGGCUGUGAGACACAUGCAUCUCAGUGACAGCGUGUCAAAGAUUUCAUGGCUGGAGGAGGCACCUUAAAAAAACACAGAAAGAGGUAGUUGGCCGCAGUCUAAGCUGACAGUGAGUUUCUUUCCAAGUGGUGGUGUUUCUUGAUAUUCCUGCUCCUGGUCCUUGAACAGGAGGCAGCUGUGGGACAGAAAAACAAGCCCUGGGCUCAGAAUUGGAAGUGUGUCUUCACCAGGUUUCUGCCCCUAACCCACCGCGUGACCUUGGGCUUCUCCUGAAGGUGCAGAUCAUAGGCCUGUGCUGGGAAGGCAGGUCUCAGGUAUGCUGUCAUUAGAUCUGAGGAACCCAGGUUGGUGGACACGUGGGCUUUGGAGUCAGAUGGACCCGGGUUUGAAUCCUGGCUCUGCCACUUGCAUGCAGUGUGAUGUAAUCCAUCUAAGGCUUGGUUUCUUCAUCUAUAAAAUGGGGCUGGCGGUAUGUACCUCAGAUAUCAUUUACAUAUGGGCAAAUCAAGUCUUAUAGAGGUCUUCUGAUUUACCAAGGGCACACAGAUACUUAACAAUGAGGGCAGGCUCACAUCCAGAUCUUCUGACCAUAGGUCCUGAGCUUUUCCCACUGAGCUGCAAGGAUGUGGUGGGGCUAGGUAUAAGGAUAAGUAUAUUGUCUUUAGUUUGUGAAAGUUUCACUAGCAAAAGUUAUAGUACGAUUGGACUAACGAUAAUACCAAUAUUAGGAGGAUUAUUGUGAAUGAUUAAAUGGGAUAAUGCAAAUAUAGAGCUCAUAGUUAAGUGCUCUUAGAUUUCGAGCUUGAAAUUUAUGGAGGCUUGCUUUAUGGCCCAGCCUAUGUCCUACCUUUGUGAAUGUACUAUGUGCACUUGAAAAGAAUAUAUAUUCUACAGUUGCUGAGCAGCAUGUUCUAUAAAUGUUAGGUCAAGGUGGCUGAUAAAGUGUUUAGCUUCUCUAUGUCUUUACUGAUUUUUCUGCCUAGCUGUUCUAUCAGUUGUUGAGAAACGGAUGUUAAAAUCAAAUAUGAUUAUGAAUUUAUUUCUCCCUUUAAGUGUCAAUGUUUGCUUCAUCUAUUUUGAAGCUUUAUUAGGCUCCUACACAUUUAUGAUUGUUAUGUCUUCUUGAUGUAUUGACUGAUCCAUCAUUAUGAAAUGUCUCCCUUUAACUGCAGCAAUGUUUUUUGUUUUGAAGAUUACUUUAUAUGAUAUUUAUAGAGCCACUCCAGCCUUCUCAUAAUUACUGUUUGUCUGAUAAUGUCUUGUUCAAUCCUUUUACUCUCAGCCUACCUGGGACUUUAAUGUGUAUAUAUACAUAUGCAUUUUAUAGAGACAGCUUAUAGUUGGGUCUUACUUUUUUAAAAUACAUUUUGACAAUCUCUGCCUUUUAAUAGUAGUGUUUAGUUCAUUUACAAUGAACAUAAUUAUCAAUAUGUUUGGA